UACGGGGGGGGCAAGCGUUGUUCGGAAUUACUGGGUGUAAAGGGCUCGUAGGCGGCCAACUAAGUCAGACGUGAAAUCCCUCGGCUUAACCGGGGAACUGCGUCUGAUACUGGAUGGCUAGAGAUUGGGAGAGGGAUGCGGAAUUCCAGGUGUAGCGGUGAAAUGCGUAGAUAUCUGGAGGAACACCGGUGGCGAAGGCGGCAUCCUGGACCAACACUGACGCUGAGGAGCGAAAGCCAGGGGAGCAAACGGG
RNAcentral lists this ribosomal RNA (253 nucleotides) under uncultured bacterium. Its description in RNAcentral is "partial 16S ribosomal RNA". It matches the Rfam family "Bacterial small subunit ribosomal RNA", at positions 524 to 776 of the family's 1533-position model. The record is from RNAcentral.